UGCGUCUUAGCUCAGCUGGGAGAGCAUCUGCCUUACAAGCAGAGGGUCAUAGGUUCGAGCCCUAUAGGCCCCAUCA
This 76-nucleotide transfer RNA is filed under the name Eubacterium sp. RNAcentral's name for it is "tRNA-Val". It matches the Rfam family "tRNA". From Rfam's summary of the family: Transfer RNA (tRNA) molecules are approximately 80 nucleotides in length. Their secondary structure includes four short double-helical elements and three loops (D, anti-codon, and T loops). The record is from RNAcentral. Lineage: Bacteria; Bacillati; Bacillota; Clostridia; Eubacteriales; Eubacteriaceae.